RNAcentral lists this long non-coding RNA (289 nucleotides) under Elaeis guineensis (African oil palm). RNAcentral describes it as "long non-coding RNA (EGUI_LNC034726)". Lineage: Eukaryota; Viridiplantae; Streptophyta; Magnoliopsida; Arecales; Arecaceae. The record is from RNAcentral.
UUGCCCCAUCCGAUGGUCCAAAUUGCAUCUAACAUAUGAUCCAAGGGCUGGGAUUGAUUCUGACUUGAUCUGGGGUGUUUUUAAGCUAUUUUCAUGCUGUUUGAUCAUGAUUGGAUGAUGGGCGUGGGUUGAGGAGUUUGACAAUGAUUAAAAAUCCAAAUUUGAUCCAAUUUCAACUAGUUUUUGCUCUAUUUAAAGGGAGAGACUGUGAGAUUUGAGAGAGAUGGUUAGCAGCAGUAAGUAAGGCCAUAGGCCUCUUUAUUAUUUUAUUCUAGAAUUUUUGUAAGGG